Molecule: non-coding RNA, 144 nt
Organism: Canis lupus familiaris (dog)
Lineage: Eukaryota; Metazoa; Chordata; Mammalia; Carnivora; Canidae
Source: Rfam
AGCUUUGCGUAGUGGCAGUACUAUAGCCAAUGAGGUUUAUCCGAGGUGCGAUUAUUGCUAAUAGAAGAAGCCCUACAAUCCUUUUGUUAAUCAAGGCUGAUUUCUUACCCAUCCAUGAUUGCAAAGGAGACGGUUCUUUGGGGC